AUGUUCCAAUAUUGUGUGAUCUAUAAGAUGUUACCACGACAAAUACAAUAUACGUUUGUGGAGUUUGGUUUUGCCUCCGCUGGUGAGACAUUGAGAGAAGUAUUUAAUCAUGUGUGCCUUUUUUUCUCUCACUGCAAACGCACAUCAACCCAGCACUCCCAGCACUCCCAGUACACCAAGUACCACCAGCACUCCCAGCACUCCCAGUACACCGAGUACCACCAGCACUCCCAGCACUCCCAGUACACCGAGUACCACCAGCACUCCCAGUACACCGAGUACCACCAGCACUCCCAGCACUCCCAGUACACCGAGUACCACCAGCACUCCCAGUACACCAAGUACCACCAGCACUCCCAGCACUCCCAGUACACCGAGUACCACCAGCACUCCCAGUACACCGAGUACCACCAGCACUCCCAGUACACCGAGUACCACCAGCACUCCCAGCACUCCCAGUACACCGAGUACCACCAGCACUCCCAGCACUACCAGAACACCAAGUACCACCAGCACUCCCAGCACUACCAGUACACCAAGUACCACCAACACUCCCAGCACUCCCAGUACACCAAGUACCACCAGCACUCCCAGCACUCCCAGUACACCGAGUACCACCAGCACUCCCAGCACUACCAGAACACCAAGUACCACCAGCACUCCCAGCACUACCAGAACACCAAGUACCACCAGCACUCCCAGCACUCCCAGUACACCAAGUACCACCAGCACUUCCAACACUCCCAGUUCACCAAGUACCACCAGCACUACCAGAACAACCAGCACUCCCAGUACACCAAGUACCACCAGCACUACCAGAACAACCAGCACUCCCAGUACAACCAGAACAACCAGCACUCCCAGUACACCCAGCACUACCAGAACAACCAGCACUCCCAGUACAUCAAGUACCACCAGCACUACCAGAACAACCAGCACUCCCAGUACACCCAGCACUACCAGAACAACCAGCACUCCCAGCACACCCAGCACUACCAGUACCACCAGCACUCCCAGCACUCCCAGUACACCAAGUACCACCAGCACUCCCAGCACUACCAGAACAACCAGCACUCCCAGUACAACCAGCACUCCCAGUACACCAAGUACCACCAGCACUCCCAGCACUCCCAGUACAACCCAGCACUCCCAGUACACCAAGUACCACCAGCACUCCCAGUACACCCAGCACUACCAGAACAACCAGCACUCUGCCAGUGA
This 1221-nucleotide long non-coding RNA is filed under the name Sparus aurata (gilthead seabream). Its description in RNAcentral is "lncRNA (ENSSAUG00010014613.1)". Lineage: Eukaryota; Metazoa; Chordata; Actinopteri; Spariformes; Sparidae. The record is from RNAcentral.